GAAGGUAUAGCUCAGUGGUAGAGUGCAUGCUUAGCAUGCACAAGGUCCUAGGUUCAGUCCCCAAUACCUCCU
Camelus ferus (Wild Bactrian camel) is the source of this 72-nucleotide transfer RNA. It matches the Rfam family "tRNA". From Rfam's summary of the family: Transfer RNA (tRNA) molecules are approximately 80 nucleotides in length. Their secondary structure includes four short double-helical elements and three loops (D, anti-codon, and T loops). Lineage: Eukaryota; Metazoa; Chordata; Mammalia; Artiodactyla; Camelidae. The record is from Rfam.